UCCGCCUAGGGGAGGUAGCUCGCCGUGCGCCCUGCUGGUACCACACCCCGCCCUGUACGCACAUCAGUGAUGUGAAACCGUGGCCUUCGGCCCGGACCUGUGUUUCUUCGCUGGUGGGCUCUGCGGAGUAGGUUUUGGGGCAGAGUCCAGCGGCUCCUGCACGUCCUCUCGUGGGCUGUAGGAACACAGGCAGCCCCUCAGUGCCCGCUGUAGCGACCCCACAAAUGAGGCGGAGGAAGCAGCUCAGUCAGGAACCAGGAAGUAGGAGAAGCCCACAGGCGCCAAGAACGGACUAUAGGAUUCCACCAGAAUCUGUCAAGCUCCAGCUCCAGAUGGUCCUACAACCUCACCAGUACUACUGUGGGCCCCUGGACACCCCUCGGCCUGGACCCCUGACUCCCACAGGGCCCCUCUUCGACCCUUCUCAGCAGGAAGUACCUAAUAACUUGAUCCCCUUGUCCUAUCUCCCUAACAGUAGUUAGGGGCUCCAAUCCAUAGGGGGAAUUUGUAGUGACCUCAUGAAUGCGGGAGGAAGCAGCUCAGUCAGGAACCAGGAAGUAGGAGAAGCCCACAGUUGCCAAGAACGGACUAUAGGAUCCCACCAGGGCAAGAGCCCUCCGAUGGGCCGUGACACUGCCAGUGGGAGAACGGAUAAAUUACAGUGCAUUGCCACAUUGAAGUGAGCGCAAGGAUGUCAGACUCGAAUCCUGGGACAACCAAAUGUGGUGCACUAUUUCUGAACGGCAAGGCUUGCUGGUGGAUCGCACGUCUGCUCCUGGGUACUGGCCAAACAAGCCCCGGGCAGCGGGCUCUCUGCUUCAUUGCAUUCGGCUCUGCCAUCAGCAGUCACCGCCUCCCAUACCACCUCUGUGAGCAGGCCAGUGGCAUAAGCUCAAACCCGUUACCUAGGUGCCAUCUGUGCCCUCUGCCACAUGGCAGCCCGACCAGACGGUGUUGGCUGCCGAAACCACAGCCAUUGCUUCCUUCUCGCUCCCAGAGGCUUUAAAUAUCAUUUGCCUGAGGGGCUCAGGCCUGUACUACCCAAGGACUGCUGUAAGGAUAGUCUGUGACUCUGGCCUAGUCAGUCAGUUAAGGGGCCAUCUGUCUGCUGGGGCUCCUAGGAAAUCUUCCUUCCUGAGAAGGUCUUUUAUAUUCUACAUGCUGUUAUUUUGGUUAAACACACUAGAAUGUAAGAAUUGGUGCUACGGUACCCUUUUUGUGACCAUGACAUCCCCAACAGUGAGAGAAAGCAGAAAGUAUAUGGAAGGAUCUUUAAUCAUUUCCAGUGGGUUUAUAUUAUUGUGGUAUUUUAAAGGUUCUGAAAAUGAGCGAGGCACCUGUGGCUUAUGCCUGUAAUCCUAUCUACUUGGGAGCUGCAAAUAGCUUUUGAGACCCCAUCUCCAAAAUAACCACAGCAAAAUGG
Castor canadensis (American beaver) is the source of this 1423-nucleotide long non-coding RNA. RefSeq lists it as uncharacterized. NCBI's taxonomy places the organism in Eukaryota, Metazoa, Chordata, Mammalia, Rodentia, Castoridae. The record is from RefSeq and is a predicted model, not a curated record.